This 519-nucleotide ribosomal RNA is filed under the name uncultured eukaryote. RNAcentral describes it as "SSU rRNA". It matches the Rfam family "Eukaryotic small subunit ribosomal RNA", at positions 1161 to 1695 of the family's 1831-position model. The record is from RNAcentral.
AGGGCACCACCAGGAGUGGAGCCUGCGGCUUAAUUUGACUCAACACGGGAAACCUCACCCGGCCCGGACACGGACAGGAUUGGCAGAUCGAUAGCUCUUUCUCGAUUCCGUGGGUGGUGGUGCAUGGCCGUUCUUAGUUGGUGGAGCGAUUUGUCUGGUUAAUUCCGAUAACGAACGAGACUCUGGCAUGCUAACUAGUUACGCGACCCCCCGAGCGGUCGGCGUCCCCCAACUUCUUAGAGGGACAAGUGGCGUUCAGCCACCCGAGAUUGAGCAAUAACAGGUCUGUGAUGCCCUUAGAUGUCCGGGGCUGCACGCGCGCUACACUGACUGGCUCAGCGUGUGCCUACCCUACGCCGGCAGGCGCGGGUAACCCGUUGAACCCCAUUCGUGAUGGGGAUCGGGGAUUGCAAUUAUUCCCCAUGAACGAGGAAUUCCCAGUAAGUGCGGGUCAUAAGCUUGCGUUGAUUAAGUCCCUGCCCUUUGUACACACCGCCCGUCGCCACUACCGAUUGGAUG